AGUGACUCUCCUGCCUCAGCCUCCCGAGUAGCUGGGAUUACAGAUCAGCCAUAUUCUAACAAUACAUUUCAAAGUACUGCUGACGGAGGCUCCACCUGAAACCUGUUCUCUCAGAUAAGUAUCUUCAUCCCAUUCAUCGUUUCAAGAAAAAUAAAUAAAUAAAUCUUACAGCACGGCAGCAUUUUCAUCUGCUUUGGUUUCAGCCAGAGAUAAACUGUUCCUGCUGCAAAGUAAUUAAUAUCAGUCGCCUGGAAAGCAGAAAUUGGGAGACAACAGGCUCCUCUUUCUUGAUAAACAGAUUGUUGGGUUUCCUUUGGGAGGGGAAGGAAUAACCUUGAAGAGAGGUGAGAAUUGUCAUGGAUUUUGUGUGACUUGUUACUCAAGAUGACUCAUUAAGCUGCCAAGAGCCUCACAGCCCAUCCAAACUUCUCAAACAACCCCUUCAAUUCCAGCCCUUGACCUGAUCUAUGUAGAGGGUUGGAAAAUUCACAGCAAUACAAAGCUAUGGAAACAGACUGUCAUCCACAUAUAUGUUGGGUGAUGGGGGAGACAUGAAGAGUGAGAGACUGUGGAGACAGGAAAGUAGCAACAUUUGCCAUGAGAUUUUCCUCGAAACCAUCUCCUUCUUGAAUUUAGACACUCAUUGUUUAUG
RNAcentral lists this long non-coding RNA (652 nucleotides) under Homo sapiens (human). RNAcentral describes it as "HSALNT0318703". Lineage: Eukaryota; Metazoa; Chordata; Mammalia; Primates; Hominidae. The record is from RNAcentral.